AUCGCUUCUCGGCCUUUUGGCUAAGAUCAAGUGUGAAAUCUGCUACUAUUAUUGUGUGAGGUGCAAUGUGUGUUUUGAGCUUUAGUAAGGUUUCUUUUACGUAUGUAGGUGCCCUUGUAUUUGCGGCAUAGAUAUUUAGGAUUG
Molecule: small nuclear RNA, 144 nt
Organism: Rattus norvegicus (Norway rat)
Lineage: Eukaryota; Metazoa; Chordata; Mammalia; Rodentia; Muridae
Product: U2 spliceosomal RNA
Source: Ensembl